RNAcentral lists this ribosomal RNA (484 nucleotides) under uncultured bacterium. RNAcentral describes it as "partial 16S ribosomal RNA". It matches the Rfam family "Bacterial small subunit ribosomal RNA", at positions 30 to 507 of the family's 1533-position model. The record is from RNAcentral.
AUUGGACGCUGGCGGCAGGCCUAACACAUGCAAGUCGAGCGGAUGAAGGGAGCUUGCUCCUGGAUUCAGCGGCGGACGGGUGAGUAAUGCCUAGGAAUCUGCCUGGUAGUGGGGGAUAACGUCCGGAAACGGGCGCUAAUACCGCAUACGUCCUGAGGGAGAAAGUGGGGGAUCUUCGGACCUCACGCUAUCAGAUGAGCCUAGGUCGGAUUAGCUAGUUGGUGGGGUAAAGGCCUACCAAGGCGACGAUCCGUAACUGGUCUGAGAGGAUGAUCAGUCACACUGGAACUGAGACACGGUCCAGACUCCUACGGGAGGCAGCAGUGGGGAAUAUUGGACAAUGGGCGAAAGCCUGAUCCAGCCAUGCCGCGUGUGCGAAGAAGGUCUUCGGAUUGUAAAGCACUUUAAGUUGGGAGGAAGGGCAGUAAGUUAAUACCUUGCUGUUUUGACGUUACCAACAGAAUAAGCACCGGCUAACUUCGUG